UUACAUCAGCAGUCAUCUAUGCGGUGAAGUGUGGUUGGCACCGCCUGCCAGGUGCUCACUUGGACAUCCACCAAAACCUAGUGGCUAAUACACGGACGUCAAGGUCUGCCAUGGUGACAUUUGCUGGCAACUCUGCCGACACUGUGUGUGGUGGAUUGCGCCCAGCCGCUGUGAAGACCAGCGCCUGGAAAUGGCAGUGUUCCCUUGGUUGACUCAGGCUGGUCCUACUGGACAGUUGCACUGGCAGAGUGGUGGCCUCUGGCCACACAUCACUUGCUUGGCCGCAAGAACUUCUGACCUAUCAGCUUUGACUGUGGUGUAGUGGACCACAGUGGCAGCUACGGGUAACGGAGAAUCAGGGUUCGAUUCCGGAGAGGGAGCCUGAGAGAUGGCUACCACUACCAAGGUGGGCAGCAGGCGCGCAAAUUGCCCAAUACUGACACAUGUGGUGAGGCAGCAACGAACUGCAGCAAUUCCACCUGUCCUUUGAGACCAGUGGAACUUGGAAUGGAUGCUAUCCAAACACAGUGAUGAGAAUCAACUGGAGGGCAAGUCUGGUGCCAGCAGCUGGCGGUAAUUCCAGCUCCAAGUGCGUAUACUGACAUUGCUGCUGUUAAAACACUUGUAGUCAGCCACUGGGUGCAGGUCUGACAGGUGGCUGGCAGGUGCUUGUGGCUCAACUGGCUUCUGGCUGGGUGGGCUGCCUGUGCCUGCUGGAACUCAACCCCUGGCAGUAUGUCCUGCACCCGCAUUCAAGAUGGUGAAUUGCUCUUGCUCCAAGCCUCCUUCAGUGGAGGCCAAGGCGGCUUCACGUCAGAUGCAUGUGAGGGUGCUUUGGGGUCAGCUCCCUGUGAGUGACACCCCUGCCCACCACCAGAGCUCAUCAUCUCUGCCACCGUGGAAAACUCAGUGUGCUCAAAGCAUCCAUCUCUCGGCUGGAUGUCUAUCCAUGGAAUGUCAAAGCAUCGACCAAGUGGGCCUCACAGUUGUGCUGGCCUUGGUGCUCACUCUGGAGAAUGUGGCUCAGCCUCCUGCCUGGUUCCUGCGUGUUGUUCCAAGGCGAAAGGGCCAGUGCUUGUGGGCUUUGCCUGUCGUGCCUGAUGGGAUUGCUCAGGGUGGAAGAUAUUGCAACGCCAGAGGUGAAAUUCUUAGACCGCUGCAAGAUCAACUGCAGCGAAGGCGUUCUGCAAGUGCCUGUCCGUCGAUCAAGAAUGAAAGUGUGGGGAGCAAAGAUGAUCAGACACCGUCGUAGUCCACAACUGUAAACUAUGCCAGCUUGGUGCUGGUGGAGCAAGUACACGGACUCCAUCGGCGCCAUGCCCCCUGCAACGAGAAAUCCAAGCCUUUGGGUUCAGGGGGAAGUACUGUCGCAAGGCUGAAACUUAAAGGAAUUGACGGAAUGGCACCACAAGGCGUGGAGUAUGCGGCUUAAUUUGACUCAACACGGGGAAUGUUACCAGGUCAGGACGUUGCUUGGAUGGACAGAUUGAGAGCUCUUUCUUGAUCCCUUGGAUGGUGGUGCAUGGCCGCUCCUGAUUGGUGGAGUGAUUUGUCUGGUUGAUUCCGAUAACGAGUGAGACAUCUGCCUCCCAAUAGCCUCAGCCUCGCACUUGUAGGGCAGUUUGGCUGCUUCCAGCCAGCUUGCUGGCCUGGGGGCACCAGUUGCUGCCUGAGAGGAUUGAGCCCAGCUUCUCUGAGGUGCUGCGCACGCCACCAAGUGCCCGCAUGCUAGAGCCAACAGCAGGUCUGUGAUGCUCCCAGAUGUCCUGGGCCGCACGCGCACUACAUUGACACAGUGAACGUGUUUUGCCGCUCACUCCGCUGAGCCCCACCUGGAAGUUGGUGGGAAACCAUGUGAGCCUGUGCUGUACUGGGGAUAGAUGCUUGCAACUGUCUGCCUUGAACGUGGAAUGCCUAGUAUGCGCAGGUCAUCAGCC
This 1937-nucleotide ribosomal RNA is filed under the name Discoplastis constricta. RNAcentral's name for it is "SSU rRNA". It matches the Rfam family "Eukaryotic small subunit ribosomal RNA", at positions 101 to 1636 of the family's 1831-position model. The record is from RNAcentral. Lineage: Eukaryota; Euglenozoa; Euglenophyceae; Euglenales; Phacaceae.